CUACCAUGGCGUUCACGGGUAACGGAGGAUUAGGGUUCGAUUCCGGAGAGGGAGCCUGAGAAACGGCUACCACAUCCAAGGAAGGCAGCAGCCGCGUAAAUUACCCAAUCCUGACUCAGGGAGGUAGUGACAAGAAAUAACAAGCGGUGGCCCAGCCACCGAAUUGCAAUGAGCCGAAUUUACACCACUUAGUGAGGACCAAUUGGAGGGCAAGUCUGGUGCCAGCAGCCGCGGUAAUUCCAGCUCCAAUAGCGUAUAUUAAAGUUGUUGCAGUUAAAAAGCUCGUAGUUGGAUUUCUGGCGGGGACCCAAGUACCCCUGGUGGGUGUGCUCGGGCCCGGCCAUCCUUCUGUAAACUUUCGCGCGUCCUUCACCGGUCGGCAAAGGGAUCAGAUAAUUUACCUUGAGAAAAUUAGAGUGUUUCAGGCAGGCUUAGCCGGAAUACAUUAGCAUGGAAUAAUGGAAUAGGACUGAGGUCUCGUUGUUGGUUACGCGGACUACAGUAAUGAUUAAUAGGGACAGUUGGGGGCAUUAGUAUUUAAUAGCUAGAGGUGGAAUUCUCUAAUUUGUUAAAGACUAACUUAUGCGAAAGCAUUUGCCAAGGAUGUUUUCAUUAAUCAA
RNAcentral lists this ribosomal RNA (620 nucleotides) under Ciliophora sp. RNAcentral describes it as "SSU rRNA". It matches the Rfam family "Eukaryotic small subunit ribosomal RNA", at positions 341 to 980 of the family's 1831-position model. Lineage: Eukaryota; Ciliophora. The record is from RNAcentral.